UACGAAGGGGGCAAGCGUUGUUCGGAAUUACUGGGCGUAAAGGGCGCGUAGGCGGCUUAUCAAGUCAGGCGUGAAAUUCCCGGGCUCAACCUGGGGGCUGCGCUUGAUACUGAUUGGCUUGAAUGCGGGAGAGGAUAGUGGAAUUCCCAGUGUAGAGGUGAAAUUCGUAGAUAUCAGGAGGAAUACCGGUGGCGAAAGCGACUCUCUGGACGGCAACUGACGCUGAGGCACGAAAGCGUGGGGAGCAAACAGG
Molecule: ribosomal RNA, 253 nt
Filed under: uncultured bacterium
Lineage: Bacteria
Description: partial 16S ribosomal RNA
Rfam family: Bacterial small subunit ribosomal RNA
Source: RNAcentral